RNAcentral lists this long non-coding RNA (7981 nucleotides) under Equus caballus (horse). Its description in RNAcentral is "lncRNA (ENSECAG00000030566.3)". The record is from RNAcentral. Lineage: Eukaryota; Metazoa; Chordata; Mammalia; Perissodactyla; Equidae.
UUUUCACUCUGUUUAUGCAUUGUUCUCCUGAGCUUGCUGAACAUUUUUUUUAUGAUGAUUAUUUUGAAUUUUCUGUCAAGUAAUUCAUAUUUCUCUGUUUCAUUAGGGUCACUUUCUGGAGUUUUACCUUGUUCUUUUGUUUGGAUUGUUUCCUAUUUACUUCAUUUUCCUUGACUCUGUGUUGAUACAUAUGCAUUAGUAAAAAUGCCACCUCUCCCAGUCUUCAUGCAUUGGCCACAUACAGAAGAACUUCACCAAUGAACCUAACCAGACCUUAUAUGGGCCUUUCAAACUUUCAUGCUAGCCCAAACUUCCAUCAUUGCUCUUUGUGGCCCCUAGACAUCUAGAUUAUGCUCUGAUGGGUUCCAUCAGCGGUUUACAUCAGGCUGGGGAGGAGGGUCUUUGGCAGGUGCUUGUGUUCUAGUUCAAACCACCUUUGUUCUCAGUGGCUCUUGGGUAACUAGAAUAUGCUGGAUCCCAUCAGCACUCCAAGACAGAAGCCAUCUCUUGGGCAACCCCAGAAAAGUUUGAAUGUUUGAUAUGCAGUCCAACUCUUUCCCUCCCCAGGGAGAAGCUGGGGGCUGGCUUUUUUUUUUGUCCCAAGCUGCUCACUCUGUAGUGAGCCAGGACUCCCCCUGCAGCAGUUAUCUGCUUGCAAGUUCAAACUGCUAUCUUUGUUCUCUUCAACCCCCAAGGGUCUAGCAUAUGCAAGGUCCCAUCAGUGUCCCAAGACAGGCAAGACACAAGCAGUCCCUUGCUCAUUAUCUGGAAAAGUUGCUAUGAUAUAUAUGUGGUCUUACUCUUUCACUCCUCAAGGAGAAGCUGGGAACUGGGGGUUUUCUCCUCAACAUACGGCACUGUGCUGGGGGUAGGGAUUAUGGUGAAAGGGUGUCUCCAAUUUCCCUACCAGUUUUGAUGUGGCUAGUUUCACAUUCACCUGGAAUGCAAGAGCCUCUCAACCAGUUUCUGGAUUUCUCACAAAGGGGAUUGAUCUAUGUAUUGCUGCUGAAUCGGUAUGUCCAUGGGGGGAAGGAAAGUCCAGGGCUUCUUUUUCUGCCAUCUUGCUGAUGUCACUCUCAAUGGAGUUUUUAAUCAAGGUAUUGAUAUAAUCAAAGAGAUAGUUUCUGAAAUAUUUAUCCAGCAUGAGUUUUAUGGGCUUGCUAACAAGCGUAUUGGUGCAGAUGAGCCACAGCUAGGUGUAUGCACCAGAAAGUUCAGUUCUUUUCACUAACAUAAGGUCAUAGAAAGUACCUCAGCUUCAUUGGUCUCGAUGAAUACUAAUGAUUAGGGAUAGUUUGUGCAAUGUAUUUUUACUUCUUCCUCCCUUCCUUCAUCCAUCCAUACAUACAAUCAACAUUAUCUCAAAAAGAUUAAUACUUUUCUAUGUGUCCAAAGCUAUACAUUCUGAUUACCCCAAUUCCUAAGUCAUGUAAAAUGGACAUAUGAUUUCAGGGAAUUUAUAAACAUAGGUAAAUAGUAUCUGAGUGACAUGAUAAAGCUUGAAGGCAAAAUCAGGUCUCCCAGUUACAAGUUUUUUCAACUUGAACAACUCAAAUUAAUAAAAUAAUGAACAGAUAAACUCUUUGAUUUUGGUUAUGGAGACUCUAGGUCUAUACUAAGCAAAGUGAAGUGGAGAAUUAAGGCAAGUGAGUCCCCAAACUCUCUUUUUAAAAGAAAAAGUAGGAUUUUAAAAAGUGUUUGGAGUGGUGAAGAUUGUGGAUUGACCAAACUUAGCCAAAUUAGUAAUAUCUAGUAAUUAGUCACAGAAUAAUUAUUUGAUUCUUUACUCAAUUUUCCCCAUGUAGACAUUAUAAAUAAUAAAAUGCUUAUUUAGAGGAUAUAAGAGCUUCCAACAUACCUGAUUUUCUAUCUAUGGAAAUAGUCAUGUCCCAUUAUGGUCACUUGAUCCUUUAUGGGUCAAUGAUUACAGAAUGCCUCCUCAUAACCAUCCUCUAGCACACUCCAUAAAUAUGCCCAAGAUUUGCAUCUGAAGUGUCCCAGCAUCAGGCCUUGGAUCUCUUCUCUUUUCUACCAACACUCACCUCUUAAGUGAUCUCAUCUAGUCUCAUAGUUUUAAACAUCGUCUAUAUGCUGAUGACUCACACAUUUGCAUCUCCAGUCUAAAUCUCUAUGAAAUCCAGAGCUAUAAAUUCAUUUGUCUAUUUGACAUCUCAACCUGGAUUCCUAAAAGGCAUUUCAACUAUAAUAAGUUCAGCUGAUUUUCUUUUUGAACCUUGCAUUUCCAUGCAAUAAAUGACAACCCUAUUCAUCCAGUUGGUCAGGCCAGAAAUAUUGUCAUCCUUGUUUCCUCUCUUUGUACUUCACUUUCAAUUCAUUAGCAGAUUCUCCAGAAUUUUUACCACUUACUACAACGUCCACUGCUACCAUACUAGUUCAAGCCAUUAUCAUACCUUGCCUGGAUUAUUGCAAUGCUGUCCCUAAAUGGUCUCUAUACUUCUGCCCUGGACCCCCUACAGUCUUUUUCGACUCAGUAGCUAGAUUGAUUUGCCCACAUAGAAUAGUUUCAGGCUUCUCAUCUCUUUAGCAUAACUUUCUUGCUCUGCAAAGGCUACCUACCAAGCUCAGUUCUGGUUGACACAUUAGGCCUGGAUUGGUGUGGCUUUGUGCCCAGAGCAAUCUGGUUUUAUUCACUAACAGCAGCUUACAGUUUCAUUUGUACCAUCAGAGAAAAAUGUAUGGAACUUCGCAGACAGCAUAAUGCUCUAGCAUAUGAAAGAACUGCAGCAUUCCUUUCAGAACUUUCCAUAUGUGACCAGCUAGAAUUUAAUGGCUCUUGGUCCAUUUCAUUGAGGCGAAGAUAUGGAUUGAGUGGAUAAUUUCAAGAGGCCAAGCUUUGUCACUCAUUGAUGAUAUUCACUUAAAAUGCAUUUGAAUACUGUAAUUCUUGAUUUGCUGGUAUCUUACAUCUGUGACAAAGGCUUAUUAAACCUGUUUUUCUGAUCACAGUAACCUAUGCUGCGAAUUCUCUCAAUAUUUAUUCCUAGGAAAGGUAAGAUUGCAUUUGCUUCUCAUCCAUCUUAAUAAACUAUACAAAUGCCAACUGUGGUGUGCUUUUCCACUGUAUGAACCCAGUUGUGUGGUUGCAUGUCAUUAACUAUGGGAAUAUAUCUGUCUCCUUUGCAUUCAACAUGAGCAUUUUCCUACUUAGUUUUCAGAGCCCCUUGAGAUGUGGUGUCAGUUGCAGGACAUGUAAGCUGACAGGAGAGUGAGUAUCAAUCAAUCAAAUAUUUAUUGAGUGCUUACUACGUGAAAGGCACCGUGCUAAGCUGGGUUUAAGCAGAGUAUUAAGAGGAAUUGGAGGAAAAGUGUUCUUUUUUUAGAAACUCUCAAAGGCUCAAUGUCAGACAGAGGGGGAAAGCUAUAUAGAAUAAUACUUUUCCAGACUAUAGAAAAUUGUGAAUUAGGUGUUUUCGUCUCCAUGUUUAUACUCAUUUCUCUUUUUAGAUUCCCAUUUCUUACAUCUUUUCCUACUUACCCAGGCCCUUCAUACUCCCCACUCUUAUAACAACACUACCCAGUACCACUAUUAUUUCCUUCAAUUGUACUUAGGCCUUCAGCUGGGGGUGGGGCUUACACUUAUCCAGACGUCUUAUUUCCUCAGUGUCAUCCCAUUGGGUUACAACCUGCUCCCCUAGUCUCAUUAAUACAUUAAUGAUCAAAACCAUUUAAUUCAUUUAAUAGGGGCAUCUACAUUUUAAUAGGUAUCCAAUACAUGACAAUAUUUACUUAAAAAAACAAAACCUCUAAUGAUGACAUUAAAAACACUCUGGCAGAUUAGAGGAGGGAGAUUUGCUUUUUAGCUGAGCACGCAUUUCUGGAAUCCUUCAACUCACACUUCUGUCGACAGCCACCUAUUUUUAUCAGAGGUAUAAUUAACUAUAUUCACUACUCAUUUACUCUUUUUCCCAUGGAUUCAAUGUAAAAGAAACUUGCAAUGCUUAAAUUACUCGAUUUCCCUUUCACAUUUUCAUUUAGCAAGUUGCUGAAAAGGAAAAAAAAACCUUUGCAUUUUAAACUCCAAGAACCCUGGAGUUCUUUGUAUUAUUUUUCGUGUAUUUGAAAUUUGUUUAUUGAUGAGCAGGUGGUUGUUUCUUUAGAUUUUCAAUAAACUGCAUUGGCAUUUCCCGAAUCAGAAGAGUUCUCACAUAAAGGUCGUGCUGAAACAUUGAUGGGACUCUCAGAGGUUUUAAAACUACUGUGUUUUGCUCAAAAAUUGAUUGUAAUUUUAGAAAAAGAAAAAAAGACAAAGUAAAUAUAGGCUAGUUACAUGAUGGAUUAGGGUGAGGAGCCGCACGGAAGAAUGGCAGUCAGAGAAUCCUGGACGGCGGCAGAUCUUCAGUGAGGAAGCCUCCCUGAAGUGUCUAUGCCGGGCCACCUUCAUGUAGAUGUCUUGUGUGAGCAAUUGGAGCUGUAUGAGGACUAAGGAAGGAGAGUGGAACUGUGUUCUUCUGACUGUGAAGGGACUUCCCAAGGUGCAGAAGGAGAGACUGACUUUGUUCAUGAGCAACGACACAUCUUCUACACAGAUGGAUGGGAAGAAAGAAGAGAGAGGUGUAGACAAAGAUACAUUUCUAAGUGUGUUUGCAAGGGGGCCAGGAGGCAGACAGCAUGUGACCUGGGGUCCUCUGUGUUCUCUGUACAGCAGGAGAUGAGAACAUGCUGAGUGUUGGAGAAGUGGUGGUCAUCCCACUUGCUGUCCUGUGAUCCCCCACCCCACCUCUGGGACGUUGCCUCUUUUUGCUCUUGUAUCUUCAAUGCCUUUCUUCCUACCAGUUCUUCCAUUCAGCUGGUUAACAACCCCAAGAUUCUUUUAUUCCUCCCUCCAAAAGUUCCCCUGACUCUCAUCCUUCAUUCCCUCUUUCUUGAAACUCUCUCCUACAUGGUUCCUGGGACACCGUAUUCUCUUGGUCUACCUUAUUAUCCUAUUCGAUCUCUAUUUUAUUUUUGAGUUCUUCUCAGACGCUCUUUCCCAGAUUUCUCUACCCUGUUUCUCCUCACUGACUGCUGCAGUCAGCCUCCUUGAAUGUAUGUCUCUCAAUUCUAGCUGCUGUCCUAAGCAAGGCUUGAGCAGAACACCAGGUAUUGAGUAUAAUUAAAAUAUGCUUAUCCUCUCAGAAAUCUAUGUUCAGAAGCACCCUUAAUCCUUUUGCUGCUUGCAUUACACUCAACCUUACAAAAUAAAGUGAUAGAUUUUUAUCCCACGAAAAAUAUAUGCCAUUCAAAAUAAAUCUUAUUACACUGUAUAAUAUACCAAAGUACAACCAGGACCAGAAAGAUGGAAAUAUUUAUCACAUUAUCUUUUACUGCACUUGGCACAUGGGAUUAGACUACUUUACACCGCGAGGAAGCUAUAAAAACAAACACCAGGUCGUCAGCUCCAACUUUUGUAAGGAAAAUUUUUUCCCUGAGAAAUUUAAUACAGUAUGAAACCUGAAAAAAAUGUAAAAACAAUGAGAGAUGGUUUGCAUGGUAAAAUGCAGUGGCAGCUAUCAGAUUUGACUAUAUGAAGUUUACUCACAGGACAGAUAAAGUUGCCUUUUCUUGGGUAAGUGAAUCCACUUCAAACUGAUCAGAAUCCUGGGAUGGAAAAUAAAAAGAAAUGUGAAGGUUCUUCAGGUGCAUGUCAGAGAAAACACUGAGAACCUACCAGAUUUUUAAAUUUAGAAAGUAGAAGGUGUUGAAGUCUCAGACAAUCUGUUUACUUGAUGAUGCUUGAGCUGGGAAAGUCAUGAUUCAUUUCCUGGCCUCACACAGUGAUGAUGACAUCAUCCUCCUGCUUUCAUUUUCACUCUUCAGUUAAUAUAAUAGGACUUUAAUCACUUUGACUAAAAAAAAAAUAACAACUCUCCUUUAAUUCCUCUAAUUUUCAUGAUUACUCAAAAGCUCUGCAGAAAAUCUAUUUUUUAAAUAUCCUAUAGAUGAAAAACCCUGGUAUAAAGUCAUAGGGACUUUAUUAAUAUUAGUAAGAUGACCUGAUUCAAUGCACUAAUAUUUGAGAAAGUUUCCUGAAGAAAUCAGGAAGAAAGUGGUGCUAUUGAAAGGUAAAAUUAACCCCAGUAAUUUCUCUUUACGUUUAAUUAUUUGUAUUAAGAGACCACCACACCGAGAUUCCUCUAAGUGAAGCACACAGCUAUGCUACAGAGUCAUCAGAGAAGUGUGAGUCCCUGUGUUGGCUCUACCUCUGGACACUCUAAUUCAACAGAUCUGCGGUAGGACCUAGAACUCUAUAAUUUAAAAAACGUUCCACAGGGGAUUCUGAUGGGCAGCCCUGCCUGGGAACCACUGGGCUUUGUUGGAUAUUUCCUGCACUCUGGGCCAACACUGGAGACUGGCAAGUAACAAAAAUGUGAGGAAGAGGCAGAGAGCCCAAUUUUUAGGUCAGUGCAUUUGGAAGCUUUUACCGUGGAAUGUAAAGGCAUGUAUAAAAUAUCAUGAACACGAAUGCAAUAAAUGAAUAAAUUCAUCUCCUGCAUUGGUCCCUAAACUUUUUCAUUCCACAAUGUGAGUGUCUUUUUCUAAAUUGAUGGUAGUCCAAUUUGGUGUGAAAAAGUCCACCACUGCCUGACAGAUGAAACGGGGCCCGGACCAUCGAGCUAUUAAUGAGGCACGUCAUUGCACCUGUCAUUUAGGGUCCAUCACUGCAUGCAGAUAAACACACUCCAGCUGUGUAAGUACAAAGAUAAUUUCUCGAAAACCUAUCGGAAUCCUUGGAAAGCUACAGAAUUGGACUCAGCAAACCGGCAGGAAUGAAGGAGGUCAGGCAGCCAAAGCCAUGCCAAAGAACUGCUUGUGGGGUCUCCACUGUCCCUGCUUCUCUGUGGCACCAGCACUCAGAUUGUAAAUCACCAAAUACAGGUCAAGUACCUAUAUCCAUGCCAAAACAGAGGGUGGGAAAUAAAGUAUCUGGCUUUUUCAGCCUCCAUAAGUGGGAGGCAGUUCUGACUGCCACCAAAACUCAUAUGGCAGAAAAUUCCUGGAACAGAAAGGAGGUUCACAUAUAGGGCAGAAAAAAAACCUGUACUAUCUUAUUGUUUGAAGAAUAUGGCUUCUGGUUAGUGAGAUUUUUCUGGUUAAUUUUUAAGCUGAUACAGCAAAUGCUUCUGGACUAUUAGAGUAUUUUCUACUACAAUAAAUGUAGUAAGAUAAUUUAAUGUUCAAAACUUAGCUCUACAAUUCAUUACCAUGCAAUGUUGAGCAAUUUAUAACCUCAUUUAACUUUCUUCAUUUGUAAAUGGUAAUUUCAAUAACUCACUUAGGGUUGUAGCUCAAAUAAAUUGAUGCAUGCUAAGCAAUUUGUAUACUGAAAACACUAAGCAGUCAUUAAGCAUUGUUACUAUUCUUUUGGUACUUAGGUUCAUUAAUUUUAACUUCACAUACUGUAGCUGUUGAUAUAGAUGGCAUUGGGGGUUGUCCUGGAAAUCUAUCUCUUUCUCCUAAAAAUAGAGUAUUAAGAAUUACCAUAAGGGGCUGGCCCGUGGGGCAGUGGUUAAGUUUGUGUGAUCUGCUUUCACAGGUUCGAAUCCCAGGCGUGGACCUACACAUGGCUCAUCCAGCCAUCCUGUGGCAGCACCACGUAUACAGAGUAGAGGAAGACUGGCACAGAUGUUAGCUCAGGAACAAUCUUCCUCACCAAAAAAAGAAGAAUUACCAUGAAGGGAAAGGUUUCCCAGCCAGCGGGUUAUUGUGAAAAGCUGUUCUAAUGUUUGCAGGCCUCUCGCACUCAAGAAUGACAACAGAGUCAGGCUUUUGGAUACUGACUGACAGGAUAUAGCAAAACAAUGGAAUGGCCUUCUUUACCAUAAAACACUGGUGACAGAUCAGUAGAAAGUUAGUGAAUGUAGGAAAAGAAGGAAAAGAAUUGAGAGUUACUAGUUUAUUUGCCACCUUUUUCUUUCUUUUAUAAAAGUAGACGCAAUUUUAUUUUAAUUUCUUGAUUUUUUUUCUUGGAAAAUAAAUAAAU